CUCUUUAUCCCUACCACUUCUUCCCGCCUUUUGCUGCCUAAUGGCAGGGCGAGAAGAGAAUUUUGAAAUCUUUCUGUGUCCGAAAAGAAAACUUAUAGGCCUAUUAUAUCCACCUGUGUAGUAUGGAUCAAGCAACAACAUGAGUCAGUGGAGUGUUUUUUCCCAUUCUGAAACCAAACAUCUUGCACAGCUCCAGGCUCAACCAGGGGCUCAACAUGUGCUGAAGAACACCAGGUCUGUUGUGAUCAUACAAUAUGAAAUUUGCCCAUAUCUGCUCAGCAGACCAGACUAGUUUCAGCUGCAAAAAGAAUUCUGAAUUAAUGAGGUAUUGUUAAUAUAAAUUUGAUUCCAAACCUGAUUGGUAUUUUGUUAGAAACCCACUUGCAAAGUUCAUCCUUGCACGGAAUUUGAUGGAAAAGUGAUAUUUCAAAGUUUAUCAUUUCUGACUAUCAUGAUGAAGUGUAAUAUUCAAGUUCAAAAAUGCUUAAAAGAACAUAUCCUUUUUGCAAGGUAUACAGGAUUUUGGUUGAGAUGUUUAAUGUGGUCAAUAUAGUGAUUUAUAUAAACAAUACCAUUUUAAUUUGGAUGAUGAAUCCUCUUGGAAAGGAGCUAUUGGCAUUGGCAGUAGUAUGUGACAGUAUUCACAAGGGUUUUCAGAUUUUUUAAGAUGACCUUGCGAAGUGAGAAAUAUAGGCUAGUUUUUUCAAAGGCCAGAAUCCUGGAAUUGUAGAUUGAUUCGUGAUAUGGCCUUGAAGAUAGAGAUUGUCUUUUUUGCCUAUUUUUCCUAUUUUUAGCUAUGAGAUGCUAAAAGUUCAAAUAAAAAAAUAUCCUAAUUUAAA
This is a long non-coding RNA of Daphnia pulicaria, 839 nucleotides long. RefSeq lists it as uncharacterized. Lineage: Eukaryota; Metazoa; Arthropoda; Branchiopoda; Diplostraca; Daphniidae. The record is from RefSeq and is a predicted model, not a curated record. The transcript is spliced from 5 exons.